AAUCCAUGAUGAGGGCAAUCACGUUCAUACUCCUUAAAACGUUCCCAAGCUUUAUAGAAAGAUUCAGUUGGCCCUUGUUGAAAGUUUGAGAUCUUCGUUCUCAGAUU
Molecule: small nucleolar RNA, 107 nt
Organism: Eutrema salsugineum
Lineage: Eukaryota; Viridiplantae; Streptophyta; Magnoliopsida; Brassicales; Brassicaceae
Rfam family: Plant small nucleolar RNA R71
About the family: R71 is a member of the C/D box family of snoRNAs containing the C (UGAUGA) and D (CUGA) box motifs. Multiple nearly identical copies of this snoRNA have been identified in Arabidopsis, and it is thought to function as a 2'-O-ribose methylation guide for 18S ribosomal RNA.
Source: Rfam